Hyalella azteca is the source of this 438-nucleotide long non-coding RNA. RefSeq lists it as uncharacterized. The record is from RefSeq and is a predicted model, not a curated record. Lineage: Eukaryota; Metazoa; Arthropoda; Malacostraca; Amphipoda; Hyalellidae. The transcript has 3 exons.
AAGCGAAGUUAAUCUUGAAAAAUUGAUUUGCUCAGAAUUUCACGCGCUAUCCAAGCACCGAAGAGAAGCUACAUCUGGCGCAGGAGGCGGGCCUCAACAUGAGGCAGGUUGACGAUUGGUUAAUUAUCGCGAGGCGGCGGUACGACGUUAACGAGUCGCCGUUCGAGCCUCGUUCAUCUGCUACACUGAUUAAACAGUUAAUAAGGGACCAGCCUAUCAACAGCAAUUUAGAGAUGCUGGCCGCCGUCAGUGAAUACAUGCCUAAGCUGUGACGAAUGUGCUGCAGCCCCUCUUCUUGGCCGGCAUAUCUGCGGCCAACUGCAGGCCGAAAAUAAGCCGCCUUCGUGUAUGUAUUAUGAAGAAAAGUGCCACAAUUUUAUACGUUGUACGUGCGUUAUCAAAAUGUAUUCGUAUCUUUAUCUGUGACUGUGAUUUAAU